CGCAGAGGCCGGAGUCAGUGCGCCGGGCGCGGUGCAGCCUGUCGGGCACAGGGUCGCCAGUCGAGGAAUUCUGACAAAAAAACGACAUGGGACCCUGUUAUCCCUGCUGUUCUUAUGGAUUACUGGGAAAGUGAGCCACUGCGAACGACAGGUACAAGAUCUUCGACGCGCCCGGAGUCACCAACCGAGUCUGCCGCGACCUAGCCGCGGUCGUCAUGGCAACCUGGCCCCCCCGCCAGGCCUGCCAGGAAAGCCGGCGGACACGUAAGCCACGCCCACUCUGGGCCCAACGCAGUCUCUCCGCGGAGGCUCUGAACCCAGCCAGGGAGAGGCAGGAGGGAGUCCCGCCCCUUGCCCUCCAUAUCGGACCAUAGGAACCCACUCAUUGGCUGCAGUGUUUGUCAGCGUCUGGAGGCUUCGAACCCACCAAGCAAAGACCCAGUGCAUCUGUGCGUUGCACAGUCGCAUCUGUGAAUCCCUGCAUCCCUCCUGCCCUGCCUGCCAAGACUGAUGUGCAGCUUUUCUACCAUCACAUACCGGUUCAUACAGAAUCACAUCUGCAUAGAACUGCAAUGAACUUCUCCGUCAUCCAUUACCAUCUUCAGCAAGGUAUGGAUCUUAGCCUGGUGGUAGAAUGUGAAGAUGAGGACCUCAUCCAGGUUUCUUCCUUCCUUGGGUGCUCUGCCUCAGCCCUAGAGGCUGCCCCUUAUAUCU
Molecule: long non-coding RNA, 714 nt
Filed under: Homo sapiens (human)
Lineage: Eukaryota; Metazoa; Chordata; Mammalia; Primates; Hominidae
Description: HSALNT0061096
Source: RNAcentral